RNAcentral lists this ribosomal RNA (821 nucleotides) under uncultured bacterium. Its description in RNAcentral is "bacterial SSU rRNA". It matches the Rfam family "Bacterial small subunit ribosomal RNA", at positions 636 to 1456 of the family's 1533-position model. The record is from RNAcentral.
UNUGACUUGAGUGCAGAAGGGGAGAGUGGAAUUCCAUGUGUAGCGGUGAAAUGCGUAGAUAUAUGGAGGANCACCAGUGGCGAAAGCGGCUCUCUGGUCUGUCACUGACGCUGAGGCUCGAAAGCGUGGGUAGCGAACAGGAUUAGAUACCCUGGUAGUNCACGCCGUAAACGAUGAGUGCUAGGUGUUAGGCCCUUUCCGGGGCUUAGUGCCGGAGCUAACGCAAUAAGCACUCCGCCUGGGGAGUACGACCGCAAGGUUGAAACUCAAAGGAAUUGACGGGGGCCCGCACAAGCGGUGGAGCAUGUGGUUUAAUUCGAAGCAACGCGAAGAACCUUACCAGGUCUUGACAUCCCGAUGCUAUUCUUAGAGAUAGGAAGUUACUUCGGUACAUCGGAGACAGGUGGUGCAUGGUUGUCGUCAGCUCGUGUCGUGAGAUGUUGGGUUAAGUCCCGCAACGAGCGCAACCCUUAUUGUUAGUUGCCAUCAUUAAGUUGGGCACUCUAGCGAGACUGCCGGUAAUAAACCGGAGGAAGGUGGGGAUGACGUCAAAUCAUCAUGCCCCUUAUGACCUGGGCUACACACGUGCUACAAUGGUCGGUACAACGAGUUGCGAGCCGGUGACGGCAAGCUAAUCUCUGAAAGCCGAUCUCAGUUCGGAUUGGAGGCUGCAACUCGCCUCCAUGAAGUCGGAAUCGCUAGUAAUCGCGGAUCAGCACGCCGCGGUGAAUACGUUCCCGGGCCUUGUACACACCGCCCGUCACACCACGAGAGUUUGUAACACCCGAAGUCGGUGAGGUAACCCUUUAGGGGCCAGCCGC